Molecule: ribosomal RNA, 305 nt
Filed under: uncultured bacterium
Lineage: Bacteria
Description: partial 16S ribosomal RNA
Rfam family: Bacterial small subunit ribosomal RNA
Source: RNAcentral
ACAGCAGCAGCCGCGGGAAUACGGAGGGUGCAAGCGUUAAUCGGAAUUACUGGGCGUAAAGCGCACGCAGGCGGUUUGUUAAGUCAGAUGUGAAAUCCCCGAGCUUAACUUGGGAACUGCAUUUGAAACUGGCAAGCUAGAGUCUUGUAGAGGGGGGUAGAAUUCCAGGUGUAGCGGUGAAAUGCGUAGAGAUCUGGAGGAAUACCGGUGGCGAAGGCGGCCCCCUGGACAAAGACUGACGCUCAGGUGCGAAAGCGUGGGGAGCAAACAGGAUUAGAUACCCGUGUAGUCCCUGUCUCUUAUAC